GCAUCAGUGGUGUAGCGGUAACAUUGGGUCUUCCCAGGAUUACUUAAUCAGAAAUGGCCUAGCUCCGGGUUCGACUCCCGGCUGAUGCA
This is a non-coding RNA of Mycena rosella, 89 nucleotides long. The record is from the annotation of a GenBank genome assembly. NCBI's taxonomy places the organism in Eukaryota, Fungi, Basidiomycota, Agaricomycetes, Agaricales, Mycenaceae.